AUUGAACGCUGGCGGCAUGCCUUACACAUGCAAGUCGAACGGUAACAGGUCUUCGGAUGCUGACGAGUGGCGAACGGGUGAGUAAUACAUCGGAACGUGCCCGAUCGUGGGGGAUAACGAAGCGAAAGCUUUGCUAAUACCGCAUACGAUCUACGGGUGAAAGCAGGGGACCGCAAGGCCUUGCGCGAACGGAGCGGCCGAUGGCAGAUUAGGUAGUUGGUGGGAUAAAAGCUUACCAAGCCGACGAUCUGUAGCUGGUCUGAGAGGACGACCAGCCACACUGGGACUGAGACACGGCCCAGACUCCUACGGGAGGCAGCAGUGGGGAAUUUUGGACAAUGGGCGAAAGCCUGAUCCAGCCAUGCCGCGUGCAGGAUGAAGGCCUUCGGGUUGUAAACUGCUUUUGUACGGAACGAAAAGACUCUGGUUAAUACCUGGGGUCCAUGACGGUACCGUAAGAAUAAGCACCGGCUAACUACGUGCCAGCAGCCGCGGUAAUACGUAGGGUGCAAGCGUUAAUCGGAAUUACUGGGCGUAAAGCGUGCGCAGGCGGUUAUAUAAGACAGAUGUGAAAUCCCCGGGCUCAACCUGGGAACUGCAUUUGUGACUGUAUAGCUAGAGUACGGCAGAGGGGGAUGGAAUUCCGCGUGUAGCAGUGAAAUGCGUAGAUAUGCGGAGGAACACCGAUGGCGAAGGCAAUCCCCUGGGCCUGUACUGACGCUCAUGCACGAAAGCGUGGGGAGCAAA
This 747-nucleotide ribosomal RNA is filed under the name uncultured bacterium. RNAcentral describes it as "bacterial SSU rRNA". It matches the Rfam family "Bacterial small subunit ribosomal RNA", at positions 28 to 772 of the family's 1533-position model. The record is from RNAcentral.